AGCAGCCGCGGUAAUUCCAGCUCCAAUAGCGUAUAUUAAAGUUGUUGCAGUUAAAAAGCUCGUAGUUGAAUUUCGGGACCAAUUUGUUGGUCGUGCCUCGGUACGUACUGGUAUUAUUGGUUUCUCCCUUCUGAAGAACCUCGAUGCCAUUAAUUUGGUGUCGUGGGGAAUCAGGACUGUUACUUUGAAAAAAUUAGAGUGUUUAAAGCAAGCAUACGCUUGAAUACAUUAGCAUGGAAUAAUGAAAUAGGACGUUUGAUUCUAUUUUGUUGGUUUCUAGGAUCGACGUAAUGAUUAAUAGGGAUAGUUGGGGGCAUUAGUAUUCAAUUGUCAGAGGUGAAAUUCUUGGAUUUAUUGAAGACUAACUACUGCGAAAGCAUUUGCCAAGGAUGUUUUCAUUAAUCAAGAACGAAAGUUAGGGGAUCGAAGACGAUCAGAUACCGUCGUAGUCUUAACCAUAAACUAUGCCG
This 470-nucleotide ribosomal RNA is filed under the name uncultured Glomus. RNAcentral's name for it is "SSU rRNA". It matches the Rfam family "Eukaryotic small subunit ribosomal RNA", at positions 569 to 1044 of the family's 1831-position model. The record is from RNAcentral. Lineage: Eukaryota; Fungi; Glomeromycota; Glomeromycetes; Glomerales; Glomeraceae.